UGUGCGUCUCUAAGCUAUGGUGAGACGCAGCGCACAGCUCAGUAACACGUGGCUAACCUGCCCUUGAGACAGGGACAACCCCGGGAAACUGGGGAUAAUCCCUGAUAGAUGAGGACUCCUGGAAUAGAUCUUCGUUGAAAAGAUGCUUAAUGCAUGCUUCUAGGCAUUGCUCAAGGAUGGAGCCGCGGCCGAUCAGGUUGUUGGUGAGGUAACGGCUCACCAAGCCUUUAACCGGUACGGGCCGUGGGAGCGGUAGCCCGGAGAUGGGCACUGAGAUAAGGGCCCAGGCCCUACGGGGCGCAGCAGUCGCGCAAACUCUGCAAUGCACGAAAGUGUGACAGGGCUAUCCCGAGUGCCGUCCGCUGAGGACGGCUUUUCCACGCUGUAAGGAGGCGUGGGAAUAAGGAGAGGGCAAGACUGGUGUCAGCCGCCGCGGUAAUACCAGCUCUCCGUAGUUGUGGGGAUGCUUAUUGGGCCUAUAGCAUUCGUAGCCGGUUCGGCAAGUCCCCCCUUAAAUCCAGCAAU
RNAcentral lists this ribosomal RNA (525 nucleotides) under uncultured archaeon. Its description in RNAcentral is "bacterial SSU rRNA". It matches the Rfam family "Archaeal small subunit ribosomal RNA", at positions 52 to 558 of the family's 1478-position model. The record is from RNAcentral.